AGUCGAGCGGAUGAGAGGAGCUUGCUCCUGGAUUCAGCGGCGGANCGGGUGAGUAAUGCCUAGGAAUCUGCCUGGUAGUGGGGGACAACGUUUCGAAAGGAACGCUAAUACCGCAUACGUCCUACGGGAGAAAGCAGGGGACCUUCGGGCCUUGCGCUAUCAGAUGAGCCUAGGUCGGAUUAGCUAGUUGGUGAGGUAAUGGCUCACCAAGGCGACGAUCCGUAACUGGUCUGAGAGGAUGAUCAGUCACACUGGAACUGAGACACGGUCCAGACUCCUACGGGAGGCAGCAGUGGGGAAUAUUGGACAAUGGGCGAAAGCCUGAUCCAGCCAUGCCGCGUGUGUGAAGAAGGUCUUCGGAUUGUAAAGCACUUUAAGUUGGGAGGAAGGGCAGUAACUUAAUACGUUGCUGUUUUGACGUUACCGACAGAAUAAGCACCGGCUAACUCUGUGCCAGCAGCCGCGGUAAUACAGAGGGUGCAAGCGUUAAUCGGAAUUACUGGGCGUAAAGCGCGCGUAGGUGGUUCGUUAAGUUGGAUGUGAAAUCCCCGGGCUCAACCUGGGAACUGCAUUCAAAACUGUCGAGCUAGAGUAUGGUAGAGGGUGGUGGAAUUUCCUGUGUAGCGGUGAAAUGCGUAGAUAUAGGAAGGAACACCAGUGGCGAAGGNGACCNCCUGGACUGAUACUGACACUGNNNUGCGAAAGCGUGGGGNGCAAACNGNAUUAGAUACCC
RNAcentral lists this ribosomal RNA (733 nucleotides) under Pseudomonas sp. 81_d. Its description in RNAcentral is "bacterial SSU rRNA". It matches the Rfam family "Bacterial small subunit ribosomal RNA", at positions 60 to 787 of the family's 1533-position model. The record is from RNAcentral. Lineage: Bacteria; Pseudomonadati; Pseudomonadota; Gammaproteobacteria; Pseudomonadales; Pseudomonadaceae.